Molecule: long non-coding RNA, 3628 nt
Filed under: Citrus sinensis (sweet orange)
Lineage: Eukaryota; Viridiplantae; Streptophyta; Magnoliopsida; Sapindales; Rutaceae
Description: long non-coding RNA (CSIN_LNC001555)
Source: RNAcentral
CUGACCCGACCCGGCCCAUCAAAGGACCCCUAUCCAGUAUCCUUUGGUCUUAUCUAGGGUUUAUAAGAAACUGAACUGAAUUGGUAAUGUACUCGUUAGUUUAAGUAUGAGGCUUUGCUCUCAGAGGGCUUGCGCUCUGAUCGUAAGCGAAGCCGAUGAUUGAUUUCACCAUUUUUAUGCAUGGGUUCAGGGGAAAUGUCAUAAUUAACCCUUUCUUUUUCUCUCUCUUUCUCUCUGACUGUCCCUUACAAAAUGGAUGUAAUGUAAAUGGAAUAUUAGGGGGCUGUGAUGAUAUUUUCCAUUUGACCAGACGAUGAGAAACUUUUACUCCCAUGUAAUGGCGAGGCAGCUUCCGGGUUUGCAGCCAUGUUGGUAAGGUAGAGUUUCCAUCUUAUCUGAUAAAAGGCGAAUCUUGAGCCCCCAUCCAAAAGCAAAGACGGGGGGAAAAAAUUAAAGGUAAAUUUGGAUUAAUCCCCUCACCUAGAAUGACAACCUUCAAUUACCAAAACAAAAUUAAAACUUUUAUUAUUUGAUAUCCUUUGAAUCCUUUCACAAUCUAUUGUUACAUGAGGGCAGGCUGUGAUGUUGUUUUCGGGCUCUGAGAGGGCCGUUUCAUGGCGCGGCAACCCGGGAACUUUCCAGUGUUGCAGCCGUUGGCGGUUCAUUCCUCUCUCUUGUCUGAUUUAAGCCUGAAUCCGAACCUCUCUUUUUUCUGCUUCUUUUUUUUUUCUUUUUUGGAAAAAAAAAAAAAAAACAAAUAUGCAAUACAUACAUGCAUACAAACAAUGUAUAUUUUCGUUGAUUGUGUUUUGUUUUGAUUCAGUGAUUGUUUUCGUCGGAGUAAAUUAGUUUGGUUCUAAUGAUGAUUUUGGUUGGUACUGAAAUUUGUUGAGGUUUUGGACCGAAAUAAGUUCGUAAAUUGGCAAAUUUUAAUCAGGAAUUGCUGGCCGAGUUUUAUUUAAAACCCAGUUACAGUUGAAUUUAAUUUUUACAUGAGAAAGCGUGGUUUCUAAUAUUCUAAUUUCUAAAUGGAGCUGAGGAUUCUGAAAACUAGUUGCAGUUAAUAACUUAGUACUCCCUCUUCAUAUCGACUUGAUUUGCCUUUUACAAUUCACUUUGGGUUUAUAGAACUGGUGCCAACGUUUCCUUCAAUAUUUAGACGCAAAUGCAGUAAACAAUAAACCAUUGUCCUCUCUUAUGCACUUGAAAAAAAAAAAAUUGAAGUGGGAAAAAAAACAAAAAUCAUUGAAGCACAAACUCAAUUUAGAGGCGGCCACUUGCGUGUUAGCCUCUGCCUGAGUGGUAAUCUACUCGCCGGACAGUGUCAAACAAUAUAAUCUACUCUAGGGGUUAAAUUUCACAAGAAAUUUUAUAAAACACCCAAAAAAAAUCUAAAUAAUAAUAAAAACAUUAAUAAGCAUUGUAACAUAAACGAUCAAGCUAAGUUAAGAAGGCACUUAAAUUUUUUAUAGUGGAAGUCCCAAGUUCCGAGUCCCAACUCCCAACCUAAAGACUUUAUAGGAACUCGUAGUCAUUCUUCAUAGUUGGGGUUAGCAAUAGUAUCACCCCGUGUUUUUGUUUGUCUUGUUCUUUGUUUCUGGUUUCCCUUUAGAAUGAGGCUUUGCUCUCAGAGAGUGAGAGAGAGAUCUCUGAUACUCUGAUUGCUAAGCGAAGCCAGUGAUUUUACCAUAUCACUUACACUAACAAUCUCUCUCUCUCUCCCUCUCUCUCUCAAAAUCAUGUGAUGAGGCUGUGAUGAUGUUUUUACAAAGUCAAAUAAAUCAGACAACGAGAAACUUUUACUCCUUAUAAUGGCGAGGCAGCUUCUGGGUGUCUCUGAAAUUGCAGCCAUGGUGGUAAUGUUUCCAUCUUGUCUGAUAAAAAAUUGAAUCUUGAGCCUCCAUCCACAAAGAAAAAUUGGAACUUUUUUACUGAGUAUUGCCAAAAUUGGCUAUGAUCAUCUCUAUGUGUAUGUAUGUACGUAUAUGUAUGCGCAAAUGAUCUUCUUCUGCUGCUUUUCUUUCUUCUGACAAUAAAUAAAUAGACAAACGGCUGUGACGAUGUUUUUCAGGCUUUGGAUCAGCCCUUGAUACUUGAGAGCCCGUUUUAUGGCGGGGCGAUCCAGAGACUUCUCUGUGUUGCAGCCAUUGGCGUCUGAGCCAAGUCUGAAUCUGAGCCUCUCUUUCUACUACCAAUGUUGUUGUUGUGUGCGUGUUUUCCCCCUCUUUUUGGAGUUUCUGGCUUCUUUUUAAAUUUUGUACUGGUUUAAGAAGUUUUUCCAAUUAAACAAACAACCCCAUAAAAAAAAAAGUGCAAAUUGCCGGUUUUAGACUAUUGUUUUAUUAUAAAUAAAGGAAGACUAGAGUAAGUAGUUACUGAUAAUAUUUUUGUAUUAUUAUUUAACAAAGAAAGGAUUUUCCAAAAUUUUCAUUAGAAGAGAAGAAAAAAAAAAGUUUAAUAAAGUUCACAUUUUGAUGUAUUACAAAGUAAUCUACAAAUGGCAGGAGUGAAUGAUUUAUAAUACUUUUCCAAUUUGUGCUUUUUUUUAAUUUUCCUCAAAUAUCUUUAUAUGAGAGCAUUUCAGAUAUUUUCUUGAUUAUUUCUGGUUUUCCUCUAAGAAUGAGGCUUUGCUGUCUUGCUGUCUCGGAUUGCUAAGCGAAGCCAGUGAUUUCAGCAUGGAACGAGGGCGUGAAUGUGAUGAUGAUGUGUUUUCAAAGUCAAACAAUCAGCCUCUCUUGGCAUAGGCAGCAGCUUCUGGUGGGGGCUGUGAAUGCGAUCAAUAGGCUUUUCUAUUAGGAGGUGAAUUUCAUUGUCCCAAUACUUAUACUAGUGCGUAAAUAUCUCACAGACACAGUAACAAAAUAAUGAUAACCUAUUAGUUUAGGGCUCAGGGGAGGGAACAACUUGAACACAGAAUUAAACUUUAAAAAAAGUGGGCGAAGAAGAAGUUGUUUCAGUGUGUUUUUAGUUUAAUUAAUGUCCCAUGGAUAACAAGCAGAAGAGCAUGAUUGCUGCCAAUGUAAGACCAAUAUUGGCAACAUUUGUGGGCACUCCGCCUUGUGGCGCAGGAGCCACAAGACCGCUGCUGCCUGGAGCGGACUGAGAAACAGGGGUCACCGGUGGCAGUGGUGGACGAACAAUAUCUGCAACAGUCAAGGCUGGGUGAUAGAUUAUAUUUGGCCUAGUUUUCAGAUCUGUCACAUCCAAUAGUUCACCAGGUACAACAGGCAGAAUUCUGAAAUCCUGUUUCUCCACAUCGUCUGAACAUUUGCUUCCUGCAAGCGUGCAAAGCAAUAUAUGUUACAUACAUGUGUGUAUAUAUAUAAUUUAAAGACCAUAUAUAUUUUAUUAUAUAGGCAAAUUCUGUAUUUUUAAUAUAAGUUUGAAACAACACUACACUCACUGAAAUAUUUGCUUGCAGUGGCUGGAAACUCGGUUGUUAUACCAUCUACACCUACUCCUUGAGCAAAAGUGGCAACCUCUAUGAGGGGGUCUGCCAAGUAAUCGAAUGCAAUUGAUAAAUAUUCAUUCCUCAGAGCUGAAAUAUAUACUGAGAUAUUUGCACUGUGCAAAUCCCUUAGAAUGUUGGUAGCAUUUGUAGUAAAGCUUUCGGUUGUUGAAAUGACAG